AUCUUGGGCCAGAAUCUCAGCUGGUGUAAGUCAGCAGAGCUCCACCGACAUUAUUAGUGCUCCAGUGAUUCACACCAGCUGUGGAUCUGUUCUUCUGUCU
RNAcentral lists this microRNA precursor (100 nucleotides) under Columba livia (rock pigeon). RNAcentral describes it as "microRNA cli-mir-1756a precursor". Lineage: Eukaryota; Metazoa; Chordata; Aves; Columbiformes; Columbidae. The record is from miRBase by way of RNAcentral.